Molecule: non-coding RNA, 73 nt
Organism: Podarcis lilfordi (Lilford's wall lizard)
Lineage: Eukaryota; Metazoa; Chordata; Lepidosauria; Squamata; Lacertidae
Source: the annotation of a GenBank genome assembly
GGAUGUCAAUCAAAUUGGUUAGACCAUGGUGCUGAUAACACCAAGGUUGCAGGUUCGAUCCCUGUAUGGACCA